Molecule: long non-coding RNA, 1652 nt
Organism: Panicum virgatum (switchgrass)
Lineage: Eukaryota; Viridiplantae; Streptophyta; Magnoliopsida; Poales; Poaceae
Exons: 3
Source: RefSeq, a predicted model, not a curated record
CUCUUUUCCACGGGAUCCGAAAAUAUCCUGUUCAGCCGUCUUUGCUCUGUGACUGUUCGUCCUCCUCCUCCUCGUCUCUUACAGAGGGAGAAAAAGAAGCGCACGGUCGUCGUGCUUGCUAGAUCUUUUCGAUCGAGCUCGCUCUGAGCCUCUGACUAGCUGAUCAGCUAGUAGCUAGCUAUAGGCUUGGAGCCUGAUGCUGGCUUCAAUCUCUGUCUCGUCGGUUGCGGACACUGUUUACUGGAGUCAGCCCCAGGCUAACUGCAUGGUGGAUGCGUGGAGCAUCCAAGCAGGAGGGGGUGUCGAGAUCGGCAGAUCGCGCGCCUGUGACCGCAGCAAGCGCCUCACGGGAUGCGCAUCGGCGGCGGGGGGGUCUCUUGCCAUGACAGAGCUUCAUCGCCUAACCUCAUCUCCCCCGCUGGACGAUGAGUAGGAGCCUUUUUCCCUGCCCCGUUCCUUUUCUUUUUCCUUUUCUGAUCAUCACUCUUGCCGUCCUCGCUCAUCUGUGCUAUACUGUGCCCUCGCCGAGACGAGGCUUUCGCCGGGGCCAGGGUGACGACUCACCUACGAUAGAUACCCGAACAGAGCAGGCAGGCAGGCAGGACUGCAGGAGGAGCUGGGUGUCAGAGCAAGUGACCCCGAUCAAGUGGAGCUCCGAGUCUCUCUGACCUCCUGCUGUAGUGCUUUCUUGGUGUCUCCUGCAUGCAAUUGAUCACGCCAUCCAGCAAGGAGCAACAGGGAAAGCACACCCACCAUCUGCAGACUCAAACAACACCCGUCCUUUGGAAUCACAUGGCAACAAGGCAUGGGAAAUGAUAAAAACACGAGGAAAACCGAUCGGACGGGAGGCUAGCUGUACAUGCAUGGACGGGCAACCAUGUCGUCAUACACCAGCCAUAUCACAGUUAACUAAGCUUGUAUGACAACAUCAUUGCGUCUUUUAAGGGCGAAUAGCCACUUGCAUCCCUAAACAUAUUUCUCAUCACAACUUGAACCUACCACCCAGAUGCUCGUGUAUUAUUAGGCAUUAUUAGUCAUUACAUUAGCUGGUACUAUUAGAACAAGUUUGAAGCAGCUCCACGGCUAUUUUGUUCUCACCUUUGCAUAGUCUUUUGGUAAAGAAGUGCAGCAACCCUCAAUGACAUGUGGAGCUCGAGAGAAAAUUUUGAAGGGAAAUUGACAGUCUAAAAACGCGGCCGGAGGAGGUGAAACGGCCCUCACCGUAUUUCAUUAAGAGGAAGCGACCACGGCUUCUCCGACCGCAGAAAAAACCCCCCGAACCCGCGGAAAAACCGUAUAGAAAUUGACAGUCUGAUAGCACUCAAUAGAAUGAGAUUAAAGGGGUGUUGAUUGUAGUGUAUAACAUUCUUUGACGUUUCUAUAACAAAUUUGAAUGGCUAGGAAAGUUAUAAGGCAGGACUGAUCUUGAACAAUAGCAAUGGACAGCAAUAGUUAGCAGAAAUUAGAGCUACCAAUGUGUACUGGAAAUUAAAACAUAUAGGUGAUCAGUCCAUUAUUCACCAACAGCUUUGCAAUUUCUUUAUUGAGGUAAACAGCAAUUGACACUUGACUACAGUGGUUGGAAUUAAUGUGCUUACAUAAAGUAUACAGAUCCGUACUUGAAAUGAAAAUAUUACAGUGAAGUUUCCUUA